GACGAACGCUGGCGGCAGGCUUAACACAUGCAAGUCGAACGAGAAGCUUACCUUCGGGUAAGUGGAAAGUGGCAGACGGGUGAGUAACGCGUGGGAACGUGCCCUUCGGUACGGAACAACAGUUAGAAAUGACUGCUAAUACCGUAUACGACCUCCGGGUGAAAGAUUUAUCGCCGAAGGAUCGGCCCGCGUUAGAUUAGCUUGUUGGUGGGGUAAAAGCCUACCAAGGCGACGAUCUAUAGCUGUUCUGAGAGGAAGAUCAGCCACACUGGGACUGAGACACGGCCCAGACUCCUACGGGAGGCAGCAGUGGGGAAUAUUGGACAAUGGGCGCAAGCCUGAUCCCAGCCAUGCCGCGUGGAUGAAGAAGGCCCUAGGGUUGUAAAUCCUUUCGGUGGUGAAGAUAAUGACGGUAACCACACAAGAAGCCCCGGCUAAUUUCGUG
RNAcentral lists this ribosomal RNA (445 nucleotides) under uncultured bacterium. RNAcentral describes it as "bacterial SSU rRNA". It matches the Rfam family "Bacterial small subunit ribosomal RNA", at positions 28 to 507 of the family's 1533-position model. The record is from RNAcentral.